GAUGAACGCUGGCGGCGUGCCUAAUACAUGCAAGUCGAGCGAACGGACGAGAAGCUUGCUUCUCUGAUGUUAGCGGCGGACGGGUGAGUAACACGUGGAUAACCUACCUAUAAGACUGGGAUAACUUCGGGAAACCGGAGCUAAUACCGGAUAAUAUUUUGAACCGCAUGGUUCAAAAGUGAAAGACGGUCUUGCUGUCACUUAUAGAUGGAUCCGCGCUGCAUUAGCUAGUUGGUAAGGUAACGGCUUACCAAGGCAACGAUGCAUAGCCGACCUGAGAGGGUGAUCGGCCACACUGGAACUGAGACACGGUCCAGACUCCUACGGGAGGCAGCAGUAGGGAAUCUUCCGCAAUGGGCGAAAGCCUGACGGAGCAACGCCGCCUGAGUGAUGAAGGUCUUCGGAUCGUAAAACUCUGUUAUUAGGGAAGAACAUAUGUGUAAGUAACUGUGCACAUCUUGACGGUACCUAAUCAGAAAGCCACGGCUAACUACGUG
This 497-nucleotide ribosomal RNA is filed under the name uncultured bacterium. RNAcentral's name for it is "partial 16S ribosomal RNA". It matches the Rfam family "Bacterial small subunit ribosomal RNA", at positions 28 to 507 of the family's 1533-position model. The record is from RNAcentral.